UACGUAGGGUGCAAACCGUUGUUCGGAAUUACUGGGCGUAAAGGCGAGUGUGAGGCGGUUUCCUAAGUCAGGUGAUGAAAGCCCCCGGGCUCAACCCGGGAAGUGCACUUGAAACUGGGAGGCUAGAGUAUCGGAGGAGGUUGGUGGAAUUCUCGGUGUAGAGGAUGAAAUUCGUAGAUAUCGAGAGGAACACCGGUGGCGAAGGCGGCCAACUGGACGAAUACUGACGCUGAGACUCGAAAGCGUGGGGAGCAAACAGG
This 260-nucleotide ribosomal RNA is filed under the name uncultured bacterium. RNAcentral's name for it is "partial 16S ribosomal RNA". It matches the Rfam family "Bacterial small subunit ribosomal RNA", at positions 524 to 776 of the family's 1533-position model. The record is from RNAcentral.